GAUGAAGAACGUAGCGAAAUGCGAUAAGUAAUGUGAAUUGCAGAAUUCAGUGAAUCAUCGAAUCUUUGAACGCACAUUGCGCCCGCCAGUAUUCUGGCGGGCAUGCCUGUUCGAGCGUCAUUUCAACCCUCAAGACCCCUUCGGGGGACUUGGUGUUGGGGACCGGCACAGGGGCCUGCCUGCUUGUCUUGCAGCGCCCUCGCCGCCCCCGAAAUGAAUUGGCGGCCUCGUCGCGGCCUCCCCUGCGUAGUAGCACAACCUCGCAACGGGAACGUGACGGCGGCCAAUGCCGUAAAACAACCCCAAUUUUAUUAGAGUUGACCUCGAAUCAGGUAGGAAUACCCGCUGAACUUAAGCAUAUCAAUAAGCGGAGGA
This 375-nucleotide unclassified non-coding RNA is filed under the name soil metagenome. RNAcentral describes it as "partial contains 5.8S ribosomal RNA, internal transcribed spacer 2, and large subunit ribosomal RNA". The stretch from base 1 to 120 matches the Rfam family "5.8S ribosomal RNA", at positions 35 to 154 of the family's 154-position model. The record is from RNAcentral.